Molecule: non-coding RNA, 46 nt
Organism: Schistosoma haematobium
Lineage: Eukaryota; Metazoa; Platyhelminthes; Trematoda; Strigeidida; Schistosomatidae
Source: Rfam
GCACUGCUGAGGAGUCCCACACUAGGACGGAACGAUCGUUCAGUGC